This 778-nucleotide ribosomal RNA is filed under the name uncultured bacterium. Its description in RNAcentral is "bacterial SSU rRNA". It matches the Rfam family "Bacterial small subunit ribosomal RNA", at positions 9 to 762 of the family's 1533-position model. The record is from RNAcentral.
GAGUUUGAUCCUGGCUCAGAACGAACGCUGGCGGCGUGCUUAACACAUGCAAGUCGAACGCGAAAGUUUUCUUCGGAAGAUGAGUAGAGUGGCGCACGGGUGAGUAACGCGUAAAUAAUCUACCCUUGCAUCUGGGAUAACCCACCGAAAGGUUGGCUAAUACCGGAUACGUUCUUUUUAUUGCGAGAUAGAAAGAAGAAAGGUGGCCUCUGAUAUAAGCUACUGUGCAGGGAGGAGUUUGCGUACCAUUAGCUAGUUGGUAGGGUAAUGGCCUACCAAGGCAUCGAUGGUUAGCGGGUCUGAGAGGAUGAUCCGCCACACUGGAACUGGAACACGGACCAGACUCCUACGGGAGGCAGCAGUGAGGAAUAUUGCGCAAUGGGGGCAACCCUGACGCAGCGACGCCGCGUGGAUGAUGAAGGCCUUCGGGUCGUAAAAUCCUGUCAGAUGGAAAGAAAUGCUAUAUGAAUAAUACGUGUAUAGUUUGACGGUACCAUCAAAGGAAGCACCGGCUAACUCCGUGCCAGCAGCCGCGGUAAUACGGAGGGUGCAAGCGUUGUUCGGAAUUACUGGGCGUAAAGCGCGCGUAGGUGGUCUGUUAUGUCAGAUGUGAAAGUCCACGGCUCAACCGUGGAAGUGCAUUUGAAACUGGCAGACUUGAGUACUGGAGGGGGUAGUGGAAUUCCCGGUGUAGAGGUGAAAUUCGUAGAUAUCGGGAGGAAUACCGGUGGCGAAGGCGACUACCUGGCCAGAUACUGACACUGAGGUGCGAAAGCGU